UACCUCAGGGAGUCUCGUCAUCUC
This 24-nucleotide non-coding RNA is filed under the name Arabidopsis thaliana (thale cress). Lineage: Eukaryota; Viridiplantae; Streptophyta; Magnoliopsida; Brassicales; Brassicaceae. The record is from RNAcentral.